Oncorhynchus tshawytscha (Chinook salmon) is the source of this 1734-nucleotide long non-coding RNA. Lineage: Eukaryota; Metazoa; Chordata; Actinopteri; Salmoniformes; Salmonidae. The record is from Ensembl.
GAAAGAGUCCCUCUAUGGUGGGAUGCUGAUAGAAGAUUAUGCCUAUGAGUCUCUUGUUGAUGGAAAUGGAAAGAAAGUCGAGCAGCAGGAGCCUGAGAAAAUCUCAGUGCCAGCUCAGCCCAAAAUACUGAGAUCUCCAGAUGAGGUUUACGAAGACAUGAUGGAGAAGAAGAAAGAAUUCAUGCAGCUGGAGCAGGAACUGAAAAAAGCACAGUCCGUGUCAGAUAGACCCACACCAGAGAUUGUAUUGCAACCCACUGAGCCAACCAGAUCCACGAGUGUUACAGUUACUAUAGGCAAGGAUGGGAAACCACUGCUCGAUGCUGAGGCUACGUAUGAGGAACUCAUGAAGAAAGUUCUGACUCCUGGGACUAGCCCGACACAGCAGGGUCCUGAUAUAUCUGGGGCGGCCCCUGGUGGUGAGUUCGAAGGUACUGAAUCCAGAAGGGCUCUGCGUCCCAUACCAGACCUGAGGGUUACACAGUGCUCCUCAGGGGAGGAGGACGCUGAUGAAGAGGCCACUGAGACCAAAAGUCAAGAUAAGCCAAAGACUUCAUCAGACAUUCCUAAAGCUGAUCAGGCACCCUUAACAGCUGCUGCAGAAACUGAGUCCAAAUCAGUUGCUUGCAAGGUCCUCCCAUCAACAACUUCAGACCAACCACAGACCCAAUUUGAAACUUCCCAGGCUGACCAGCCUCUGGACAUAACCCAACAGGAUGUCAUGGACUUGUCUAGUAUAAAGUCCUCAACACCUGCUGUUGCCAGUGUAUCGCCCUUACCCACCGUCCCUCAGUACACCCCCACUGUCCCCGGUGUAGUGUCGACCACCCCACCAGUGCCCCCAAACCAGCCAUCCUGCACAGGGCUCUGUCUCAGGAAAAAGCAGACAUUCCUGAACCCCCUCCACUGCCCCCUCCCACGAUGCCAAAGCCAUCGGUUUACCCCAGGAAACCCCCUGUUCCGCUUCCAUCUCAGGCUAUAAUCAGGUCAGAACAUGUUGCCAUGACAACAACCCAAGGGUCACCUGUAAGACAGCCUCAUAUCCCCCCACCGGUUCCUCCAAAGCCAGCAAUCCCUGCUGGAAUGGGGUACAGCCACAGGCCAGGGGAAAACGUCAAACCACCCCUUGCUCCAAAACCUGUCUCUCAGCCUGGCUCUCCUGCCCACAUCCAAUAUCCAAGACCCACUGCCCUCCACACAGGCCAUGCUGAUAUAGCCCUGAAUCUGAGCCCCUCAGCUGAAAGCAGGCCAGGUCACUUUUCAGGUCAUUCCUCGGGUCACUCCUCGGGUCACCCAUCCCCCACGUCUCCGCGAUACGGCAAUCGACACGAAACUUAUGUGGUUAUAACUCUGCCAUCCCAGCCCAACUCUCCAGUGGAAGGGAUCACCACCCAGGCCCCAUCCAGUCCUGGUCCAGCAUCUCCUUCAAGACAUGCCCAACCUCCACCUCAACCUCAAACACAGUAUCAACCACAACCUCAUCCCCAGAAACAACCACAGCCACCUCCACCACACACAAAUAGGAUGCCCCUGGCAUUCACUCGCAUCACUGAGUCCAUGGAAAGUCAAGAGAUAUGUGGGCCAGAGAAAGUUGUGUCAAGCUCCUGUCAUGUCAUUGAGGCUAUUUCAGCAUCCGCUCCACCCCCAGAGGUCAGGUUAGGGCAGGUCACUCAGUUUGUGACGACAGAAGUUCAAAGAACCAUGGUGUCUGUCCGACACGAAAGGUCACCGCCC